This 244-nucleotide ribosomal RNA is filed under the name uncultured bacterium. RNAcentral describes it as "partial 16S ribosomal RNA". It matches the Rfam family "Bacterial small subunit ribosomal RNA", at positions 92 to 334 of the family's 1533-position model. The record is from RNAcentral.
CGACCGGCGCACGGGUGAGUAACACGUAUCCAACCUGCCGUCUACUCUUGGCCAGCCUUCUGAAAGGAAGAUUAAUCCAGGAUGGGAUCAUGAGUUCACAUGUCCGUAUGAUUAAAGGUAUUUUCCGGUAGACGAUGGGGAUGCGUUCCAUUAGAUAGUAGGCGGGGUAACGGCCCACCUAGUCAACGAUGGAUAGGGGUUCUGAGAGGAAGGUCCCCCACAUUGGAACUGAGACACGGUCCAA